This 250-nucleotide ribosomal RNA is filed under the name uncultured prokaryote. Its description in RNAcentral is "partial 16S ribosomal RNA". It matches the Rfam family "Bacterial small subunit ribosomal RNA", at positions 524 to 774 of the family's 1533-position model. The record is from RNAcentral.
UACGUAGGGAGCGAGCGUUAUCCGGAUUUAUUGGGUGUAAAGGGUGCGUAGGCGGUUUGAUAAGUCUGUGGUUUAAUCCCGAAGCUUAACUUCGGUUCGCCACAGAAACUGUCUUGCUUGAGUAUGGUAGAGGCAAGUGGAAUUUCUAGUGUAGCGGUAAAAUGCGUAGAUAUUAGAAGGAACACCAGUGGCGAAGGCGACUUGCUAGGCCAUUACUGACGCUGAGGCACGAAAGCGUGGGGAGCAAAUA